UAACAAAUAAUUUGUAAGUCGCUCUGGAUAAGAGCGUUUGCUAAAUAAUGUAAA
Molecule: non-coding RNA, 54 nt
Organism: Salmo salar (Atlantic salmon)
Lineage: Eukaryota; Metazoa; Chordata; Actinopteri; Salmoniformes; Salmonidae
Source: Rfam